AUGGGAGAAAUGGGAGGGACCAUAGCUCCACUGAUUCGCUUAAUUACAUCCCCACACCCUGUUUCCAAAAGCAGGGUGCAAAUCCAUCUCAGCAAGGUACCAGCACCUCCUGCCAGCCUGCACAGCCCUUACAAGGUCAAAGCCUACGUGAUGAUCCAAGAAGGAGGGACCUGGCCCAAAUUAUACAUCACCUGGGCAGUGUCCCAGCCAUGCUGGCUGUUUCGAAGAGGCACAUCCUGCCCAUGGAGACAACUUGAGAUUAAAAUGUCAGCAUGUACAUCAUGAAAGUUGUUAUCUGUGAAUUACUUCAUGACUUUAAUACAUACUGGUGUAUGUAGUAAAAUAUGUUGUGAAGAGUAGUUGAGAAUUAUCUUAAUUGUGCUCAGACGGCAAAAAUAAUUACAAUGUACUGAGGCCACUGAUCUCUCCUGAAGGAGCUAAGUAGUAGCAACACUUUUUAAAAGGCUUUAAAGUGAAGAGAGAGCUGAUAUUAUUUAGACACAAAGUGCUGUCUAAAAAUAUCCCAAGCAAUACGUCCAUCACAAACAUUGCACAGAUAUAUAUGAAAAGUAAAAGGUGAAAAGCAUAUGUCUCAGUUGCUUAACACAUUUCAUUUCCUGUAUUAUCAAAAUAGUAAGCUGGAUUUUACCAACAGAAAAUCUAUGCUAUAUUGUUAAAAGACAGUAUAAUGUUUUAAAAUAUAGCAUCAAUAGUUUUAAUGUUUCCUGUAGAAUCUGAUAUAACAUACAAGUUAGUGAGGGGACUGUAUGUCUGCCAAUGAAAAGAAAGCCAAUCCCUAAAUAUUAUCCUACAUAUUACAGAUUAUAUACUAGAUAGUUUUUCUGUAUGAAAUUAGUGUCCCACAUAUAUCCAUUCUACUGGAUAAAGAUGUCAGCUAUGAUAUAUGCCUUCUGGCCAAAUAACCCCUAGCGUGAACUAAUGUAGAGAAAUUCACUUACUGCUCACAGCACAGGCCCGGUCAGAAAGCAGCCCAGAGAAAAUGUUUUCAGGAGCAGUAUUUAUCAUCUCUCAGUGACUGUUACACUGCGCUGACAAAUGGAAACAAACCAUUUUUUCCCCUUUAAUUGCCAGUCCCACAAUCUUAACUUAAGAUGUAGGAGUCAAGUCUGAGGUCAAGGACCACAGGAAAAACACAGAGCACUGCAUAGGAAAGUGGCAUCCAAUCCUACUGAGGUGCACGAAGGCACGUCUGCCCCAGCCACCGUGCAGGUCCAAGUCCACUGGUGCAGGCAGACCUGCCAGUCCCUCACAACCUUUCCAAAGCUGCAGAAACCACAAACGUUCCCUCCCUGGCAGGGUGUACACUCAGCCUGGGCAGACAAGACAUGCCUAAGGAUGCAGCUGCCUUACUCUGCUGACUUUUCAGCAGGUCAGGUGAUGAGCUGCGAUGAAUCACCUAUUUCAUCCAUGACUGGAGUCACCUGAGGCAAAUCCCCGUCCUGUGGGGCUAAAUGACCAGCAGCAUGCCACCUCCAGGCCUCACUUCAAAAAAUUAGGUAGUAUUUUUGAUACCACCAUGAUGUUAUACUGUACAUGUAAGCAAAUAACUCUAUUUAGUUUAAAUAAUUUUUCAAGCUGAUGCACUCCCCUUUGCUCUAUGUUUACUGGGUGAAGACCAGACAAGUCCAGAUCAACUUUAUCUAAACUGGAAAAUGCUGCUUUCCCUGUUCUCCAAAAGAAGGUGAUCUUGGUAAAACUUCCAGCCUGGCCAACACAAGGGCAGCUCGCUGAAGUUUCAUUUGUACACGUAUAGUGCUGAAUUUGUUGUUCUUUAAUACUUCCCACCUUGCAGGAGGGUGCUUGCUUUCCUCCGCAGCUGCCUCCUGCUCAGCCUCCACCUGCAGCAGUCACCGCUCCGGGGGCUCGGGCUUUCAGCACACCCAUGCUACAGUUUUGGCAGCAGUACAAUAACAUUGCAAUAUCUCUUGUCUAGGCUUGAUUAGAAAUCUUAACAUGCCUGCUUUGCUGUGAAGUUCCUCUGUUAAGUGCUAUGCAAGGUAGACAACCUUUAAACAAAAUAUUUGUUUUUAACGUUUAAUGGCCCCUUUCUUUCUGGCACUCACUGUUGUCAUAGGCUUAAUCACUGUAAGAGGGAUUUUUAGUGAAUCCACAUUACUCUACAGAAGGCAGUUAAGGUGACAGAGAUGUAUGUAACACACUGACAAGCACUUAAGAAAAAAAAAAAAAAGCAGUAACAGAAUUUCUUGUGCAUGCAUUGAUGGUUUAAUUUGAGCAUGAAUGGCGGGGUUAAGGCACAGCUAGAUUACUGUGGAUGCAGUGUAGAUCCAGAUAUUUAUUAAUAAAACAGCCUGGCUUUCAUAAAGGGUAUUUUCA
Molecule: long non-coding RNA, 2355 nt
Filed under: Anas platyrhynchos platyrhynchos (common mallard)
Lineage: Eukaryota; Metazoa; Chordata; Aves; Anseriformes; Anatidae
Description: lncRNA (ENSAPLG00000029014.1)
Source: RNAcentral